RNAcentral lists this ribosomal RNA (413 nucleotides) under uncultured bacterium. RNAcentral's name for it is "bacterial SSU rRNA". It matches the Rfam family "Bacterial small subunit ribosomal RNA", at positions 999 to 1387 of the family's 1533-position model. The record is from RNAcentral.
CUAAGAGAUUAGGCGUUCCCUUCGGGGACGGAAUGACAGGUGGUGCAUGGUUGUCGUCAGCUCGUGUCGUGAGAUGUUGGGUUAAGUCCCGCAACGAGCGCAACCCUUAUUGUCAGUUGCCAGCAUUUAGUUGGGCACUCUGGCGAGACUGCCGGUGACAAACCGGAGGAAGGUGGGGAUGACGUCAAAUCAUCAUGCCCCUUAUGACCUGGGCUACACACGUGCUACAAUGGACGGUACAACGAGUCGCGAAACCGCGAGGUCAAGCUAAUCUCUUAAAGCCGUUCUCAGUUCGGAUUGUAGGCUGCAACUCGCCUACAUGAAGUUGGAAUCGCUAGUAAUCGUGGAUCACCAUGCCACGGUGAAAACUUUCCCGGUUCUUGUACACCCCGAAAUCGAAUUUUCCGGGGGCC